Molecule: ribosomal RNA, 349 nt
Filed under: uncultured soil bacterium
Lineage: Bacteria
Description: bacterial SSU rRNA
Rfam family: Bacterial small subunit ribosomal RNA
Source: RNAcentral
AGAUUGAACGCUGGCGGCAGGCCUAACACAUGCAAGUCGAGCGGCAGCACGGGUACUUGUACCUGGUGGCGAGCGGCGGACGGGUGAGUAAUGCCUAGGAAUCUGCCUGAUAGUGGGGGAUAACGCUCGGAAACGGACGCUAAUACCGCAUACGUCCUACGGGAGAAAGCAGGGGACCUUCGGGCCUUGCGCUAUCAGAUGAGCCUAGGUCGGAUUAGCUAGUUGGUGAGGUAAUGGCUCACCAAGGCGACGAUCCGUAACUGGUCUGAGAGGAUGAUCAGUCACACUGGAACUGAGACACGGUCCAGACUCCUACGGGAGCAGCAGGUGGGGAAUAUUGGACAAUGGG